CCUACGGGGCGCACCAGUGGGGAAUAUUGGACAAUGGGGGGAACCCUGAUCCAGCCAUGCCGCGUGCGUGAACAAGGCCUUAUGGUUGUAAAGCACUUUAAGCGAGGAGGAGGCUCUUUUGGUUAAUACCCAAGAUGAGUGGACGUUACUCGCAGAAUAAGCACCGGCUAACUCUGUGCCAGCAGCCGCGGUAAUACAGAGGGUGCAAGCGUUAAUCGGAUUUACUGGGCGUAAAGCGCGCGUAGGCGGCCAAUUAAGUCAAAUGUGAAAUCCCCGAGCUUAACUUGGGAAUUGCAUUCGAUACUGGUUGGCUAGAGUGUGGGAGAGGAUGGUAGAAUUCCAGGUGUAGCGGUGAAAUGUGUAGAGAUCUGGAGGAAUACCGAUGGCGAAGGCAGCCAUCUGGCCUAACACUGGCGCUGAGGUGCGAAAGCAUGGGGAGCAAACAGGAUUAGAUACCCUUGUAGUC
Molecule: ribosomal RNA, 466 nt
Filed under: uncultured bacterium
Lineage: Bacteria
Description: bacterial SSU rRNA
Rfam family: Bacterial small subunit ribosomal RNA
Source: RNAcentral